GAUGAACGCUGGCGGCGUGCCUAAUACAUGCAAGUCGAGCGAACGGACGAGAAGCUUGCUUCUCUGAUGUUAGCGGCGGACGGGUGAGUAACACGUGGAUAACCUACCUAUAAGACUGGGAUAACUUCGGGAAACCGGAGCUAAUACCGGAUAAUAUUUUGAACCGCAUGGUUCAAAAGUGAAAGACGGUCUUGCUGUCACUUAUAGAUGGAUCCGCGCUGCAUUAGCUAGUUGGUAAGGUAACGGCUUACCAAGGCAACGAUGCAUAGCCGACCUGAGAGGGUGAUCGGCCACACUGGAACUGAGACACGGUCCAGACUCCUACGGGAGGCAGCAGUAGGGAAUCGUCCGCAAUGGGCGAAAGCCUGACGGAGCAACGCCGCGUGAGUGAUGAAGGUCUGCGGAUCGUAAAACUCUGUUAUUAGGGAAGAACAUAUGUGUAAGUAACUGUGCACAUCUUGACGGUACCUAAUCAGAAAGCCACGGCUAACUACGU
Molecule: ribosomal RNA, 496 nt
Filed under: uncultured bacterium
Lineage: Bacteria
Description: partial 16S ribosomal RNA
Rfam family: Bacterial small subunit ribosomal RNA
Source: RNAcentral